UAAAAGAGAGAAAAAAAUAAAAGAUAAAAAAGAUGAUGAAGUCUGUUUCUGUUUUCCCAAUCAUUUUGUUGGUACUUUCUAUGGUCAUUCUCCACGGUAAUUGAAGUUAUAUUCGUUUUAUCCUUUGAAAAAUAUUGUACAAAUGGUUGUAAAUAUUUAACCUUGGUUAUGAAAAUAUGUGUAGGUGUUGCAAGAGGCAUUGAUCGAGACCAUGAACAAGGGGUAUCGUCAACAUUGGGGAGUAAAGAAGUAAUCAUCCAAGAAACAUGUCGGACCGUGAUAUAUGAUAAAGGGUGUGAAGAGUUUAAAUGCGAUCGAGAUUGUGUGAGCCACUUUGGGGGAGAUAGCAAUAGCGAAUGUUUGAAUGGUCGUGUUUGUGUAUGUGAAUACAAUGGCAAUUGUGACAACUAAAUUAAGGUUUUUGAAGGGGGGAAUCAAAGCUUAAUAAUGGAAUAUUUGCACGAAACAUAUCAUCAUGUAUUGUACUCCG
Molecule: long non-coding RNA, 490 nt
Filed under: Linum usitatissimum (flax)
Lineage: Eukaryota; Viridiplantae; Streptophyta; Magnoliopsida; Malpighiales; Linaceae
Description: long non-coding RNA (LUSI_LNC004626)
Source: RNAcentral